UGCACUUUUCAGUUUUUGUUUUUGGAUUUAUAUAAUUUUUUUGUAAUGAUAUACUACUACUUUAGUUUUUCCCUUUUUCUAUAUAUACCUCUAUGAUGCAUGAUAUGAUAUUACCAUUGACAAUGUUGACCAUAGUUAUGACGAUGCAUGGUACGAAUAGUGGCAGUCAGUGCCUUUACUUAUGUGGUUGAAUUGUACUAGUACUGUCACUAAAAUUUACUGUACCUUUUGCUUUAGGAAGGAAAUGCUUUUGUAGUGUCAAUUUUCUCUCCAUAGUUCUAGAGGAAUCACCCUCAACCCUUGGC
RNAcentral lists this long non-coding RNA (305 nucleotides) under Sorghum bicolor (sorghum). RNAcentral describes it as "long non-coding RNA (SBIC_LNC003384)". The record is from RNAcentral. Lineage: Eukaryota; Viridiplantae; Streptophyta; Magnoliopsida; Poales; Poaceae.